GCUCCUGUGGUGUAGCUCGGCCAAGCAUUCCAGCCUUUCGAGUUGGAGAACCCGGGUUCGAAUCCCGGCAGGAGCACCA
This 79-nucleotide transfer RNA is filed under the name Candidatus Bathyarchaeota archaeon. Its description in RNAcentral is "tRNA-Glu". It matches the Rfam family "tRNA". Rfam says of the family: Transfer RNA (tRNA) molecules are approximately 80 nucleotides in length. Their secondary structure includes four short double-helical elements and three loops (D, anti-codon, and T loops). Lineage: Archaea; Thermoproteati; Candidatus Bathyarchaeota. RNAcentral also lists the same sequence under 2 other names. The record is from RNAcentral.